UACGGAGGGUGCGAGCGUUGUCCGGAAUCAUUGGGCGUAAAGCGCACGUAGGCGGCCUGUUAAGUCGGGUGUGAAAGCCCUGGGCUCAACCCAGGAAGUGCACUCGAAACUGGCAGGCUUGAGUAUGGAAGAGGGUCGCGGAAUUCCCGGUGUAGAGGUGAAAUUCGUAGAUAUCGGGAGGAACACCAGUGGCGAAGGCGGCGACCUGGGCCAAUAUUGACGCUGAGGUGCGAAAGCGUGGGGAGCAAACAGG
This 253-nucleotide ribosomal RNA is filed under the name uncultured bacterium. RNAcentral's name for it is "partial 16S ribosomal RNA". It matches the Rfam family "Bacterial small subunit ribosomal RNA", at positions 524 to 776 of the family's 1533-position model. The record is from RNAcentral.